Gadus chalcogrammus (walleye pollock) is the source of this 463-nucleotide long non-coding RNA. RefSeq lists it as uncharacterized. The transcript has 3 exons. NCBI's taxonomy places the organism in Eukaryota, Metazoa, Chordata, Actinopteri, Gadiformes, Gadidae. The record is from RefSeq and is a predicted model, not a curated record.
UUACAUGAGCAUCGUUCGUUGUUGGGGAACUAGUCAGCCUUCUCGAGUAGGACUAAGGGGUUUCUGGACCUGAGGUUUAAGCAACGUGUAGCAGCAGGGGGUGCCGCGGAAGAUUGGAGAGGCUCUGAGUGGUUCUUUCGAGUUUCCCUCAUUACCCAAAGGGCUGACGGAGAGAGUGGGACGCUGCGGCACCAUGCUCCAUCCCCUGGCUGUGUUCGUGCUGGUCCUCAACGUGUCCAUCACCGUCUUCUACUGGCUGUUCAUCCUGACUGAGGCCUUCAAGCAGAGGAAAGCGGAGGACCAACAGCCUGCAUAAAAGGUCUUUUGCAAGAAAGUGGAAGAUGACCCGGAACCCGUGGUCCCCAUCACAGCAUGAAUAAGCACCCAUACCUGGCUCCUUCCUGCAGGGGGCUUGCUUCAAGUCAAAAGGACCUAACCACAGCAAGAUAGAGCAGAGAGGUGG